RNAcentral lists this long non-coding RNA (897 nucleotides) under Sus scrofa (pig). RNAcentral describes it as "lncRNA (ENSSSCG00025065969.1)". Lineage: Eukaryota; Metazoa; Chordata; Mammalia; Artiodactyla; Suidae. The record is from RNAcentral.
AGGACCGUGAUCCAGGAGUUAAAUCGCUCCUUUUAAGGCCGUUCUCUCCCAGCCCUGUGAGAAGAGGUAAUUUUGCAAAUUAGCCCAAGAACCCUGAAUGAGUUAACCCCUGUGAAGCAGGAGUGCAUCUCGCUCCACCACCAAAGGUUUAGGCCUGCACGUUCCAGACCCUUCUGCUGCCUUCUCCCUCUGGGCCUGUUCACGUCACUCCAGCUCUUCUCCAAGGAGCCGGCUGGGUCUGGCCGGAGACGCUGCCAGCUCCACGGAGCCGUCAGCCUUCAGAGCAGCACCUUGGGCCAGGAAACACGGACAGGGGGAGUUCUGUGUGCGACUAAUGGACCCCAGAUAGAGCCACUCUUCAGUCACUGCCGUCACUUGAAAAUGCAUUUCCAGUUGACAAUAGCCGUCUGCCUAUAGAUAGCUCCACGCAGAGAUGGCUGGUCAGGCUGCUCUCCCAGAUGCCUGGGUCAGCAAUUUCCAAAGCAUCCAGUCAGCAGUUCCUGCUUCCUCCAGCAAAGUCUGGCUCUCUCCUCCCAUCUCCCAGUCCCAGGACAGGGUCCGGGCCUAGAGGGGACAGUGGCCGCCCCAAUCCGUUGCCAACAGCAGGCCCCUCUCUCUGCGCUGCCUCCAGGCCCCCAGCAGCAUCCACUUUUUAAAGGUGCCACCCGUGCCACCAGGAAGUCUCGUGUUCAGAAGUGUUCCCCAGACACGACGGGCCCCAGUCACAGUGCCUGGUCACCUGCAGGAGGCGCACCUGUGCUGCCCAGAUGCCGACAAAGCCCAGAGCGAGCAGGCAACUCCCCACAGGACUCAGUGAACCAGGUUUGAACCCAGGUCGGCUGAUUUAUGCCCAUGUGUGUCUAUGCUGUUUAUAUGCGGGAACACACGUGCAUAUGG